AGUUCAGACUGCAGGCUGCAACCCGCCUGCAUGAAGUCGGAAUUGCUAGUAAUCGCGGAUCAGCAUGCCGCGGUGAAUACGUUCCCGGGCCUUGUACACACCGCCCGUCACACCAUGGGAGCCGGUAAUACCCGAAGUCAGUAGUCCAACCUCGUGAGGACGCUGCCGAAGGUAGGAUUGGCGACUGGGGUGAAGUCGUAACAAGGUAAC
Molecule: ribosomal RNA, 210 nt
Filed under: uncultured bacterium
Lineage: Bacteria
Description: partial 16S ribosomal RNA
Rfam family: Bacterial small subunit ribosomal RNA
Source: RNAcentral